CGACGCUAUUUCUAUAUAAAGAGUUUGAUACCUAAAGCCGGAACAGCACCUACCUUAAGAUCUGAACCUCCAUUUUCAACAACAAAACAAAUUUACAGAAAUAUCAAAAAAUGGAUUCUGAGGGUAUUCUUUUGGGUAUGGGCAAUCCAUUGCUCGAUAUCUCAGCUGUUAUCGAUCAAGAUUUCCUCAACAAGUACGACAUUAAGCCGAACAAUGCAAUUCUUGCUGAGGAAAAGCACGUGUCUAUGUACGAUGAAAUGACAUCCAAGUUUAGUGUUGAAUACAUUGCUGGAGGUGCAACUCAAAAUUCAAUCAGAGUAGCUCAGUGGAUGCUUCAAAUUCCAGGUGCAACAAGUUACAUGGGCUCUAUUGGGAAGNGUAACAUGGUAAAGAGAGGCUUUAAUUUCAUAUGGUUUCUACACAUGGGUGCAUUUUAGGUUCACUACUAUGAGGAUGAGAGUCCAACGGGUACUUGUGCUGUCUGUGUGCUUGAUGGCGAAAGGUCGCUGGUUGCAAACUUAUCAGCUGCAAACUGCUACAAGGUUGACCAUUUGAAACGACCAGAGAACUGGGCUUUGGUGGAGAAGGCCAAGUACUAUUACAUUGCUGGAUUCUUCCUCACAGUUUCUCCAGAAUCUAUUCAGCUUGUUGCUGAGCAUGCAGCUGCCAAAAACAAGGUUUUCUCAAUGAACCUUUCAGCACCAUUUAUCUGUGAGUUCUUCAAGGAUCAACAGGAGAAAGUCUUGCCGUAUAUGGACUUUGUCUUUGGUAAUGAAACAGAAGCAAGAACCUUCUCUAGAGUCCACGGCUGGGAGACUGAUAAUGUUGAGGAAAUAGCUUUGAAGAUCUCGCAAUGGCCAAAGGCAUCAGGAACACACAAGAGAAUCACGGUCAUUACACAGGGUGCUGAUCCAGUUGUUGUUGCUGAGGAUGGGAAGGUGAAAUUGUUCCCAGUUAUUCCUUUGCCAAAAGAGAAACUUGUUGACACCAAUGGCGCUGGUGAUGCAUUUGUUGGAGGAUUCCUUGCACAGUUGGUCCAAGGAAAACCUAUUGAAGAUUGUGUCAAAGCAGGUUGUUAUGCAUCAAAUGUUAUCAUCCAAAGGUCUGGUUGCACAUACCCUGAGAAGCCCAAUUUUGAAUGAGGGAUUUUCUCUUGUGAUAUGUUCUUCUGUUAAGAAGAAACCUAUCCGGUUCUUAAUAGUAUUUUUGAUCUGGUUAUGCCAAUUGAUAAUGGUAUAUCCACACCAAUUCCCAUCCCAUAUGUUGUAAGGCAUUUUAAUUACCUUUUCUUCAUCAUUUGAGAAUAACAUUCUAUUGUUGUUUAUUGCAAUUACGAUGAUUCUAUAGGUUCCAUAAUAAGAAAGUGUUUCGGGUUAGUUUAUUUCAGUUA
Nicotiana tabacum (common tobacco) is the source of this 1390-nucleotide non-coding RNA. Lineage: Eukaryota; Viridiplantae; Streptophyta; Magnoliopsida; Solanales; Solanaceae. The record is from RefSeq and is a predicted model, not a curated record.